GCGUGGAGACAGGUGGUGCAUGGCUGUCGUCAGCUCGUGUCGUGAGAUGUUGGGUUAAGUCCCGCAACGAGCGCAACCCUCACCCCUGGUUGCCACCGGGUAAAGCCGAGCACUCGAGGGGAACUGCCCCGGUUAACGGGGAGGGAAGGCGGGGAUGACGUCAAGUCAUCAUGCCCCUUACGCCCUGGGCUACACACGUGCUACAAUGGCCGGUACAAAGGGAUGCAAUACCGCGAGGUGGAGCUAAACCCAAAAAGCCGGUCUAAGUUCAGAUUGGAGUCUGCAACUCGACUCCAUGAAGGAGGAAUCGCUAGUAAUCGCGUAUCAGCACGACGCGGUGAAUACGUUCCCGGGCCUUGUACACACCGCCCGUCACACCACGAAAGUCAGCUGUACUCGAAGUCGCUGAG
Molecule: ribosomal RNA, 410 nt
Filed under: uncultured Methylomirabilota bacterium
Lineage: Bacteria; Methylomirabilota (SeqCode)
Description: bacterial SSU rRNA
Rfam family: Bacterial small subunit ribosomal RNA
Source: RNAcentral